CAUGCGUGCACGUCGCUCCACAUCGCCGUCGGCUUCGUCUUCCAGCCAACACUUCCAAGAAACAGUCGUUAAACUCACGUAUUUUAGGGUUCGAAUCCCAGGUCAGGCACAGUGAUAUUGGGUUUAGCUCCUCAGUAUCAGCCUAGGGUGUGGAAUUUACACCGGAUAUGGCAUUAGCAUCGCACAUCACAUCAUAAGACGGAACACACAAGGUAUAAGCCCUCAACAGAUCAAGUACUACCGUGUUUGUGAUCGACUAUCAACAUCCUCGACCCAAAGUACCCUCAAACCCCUCAAACCACUGUAGCGCUCAUGACCGGAGACCUCCAUUAGCUGGGGGCGGGAACAACAAAGGAGUACGAAGGGGUCCGUUGAGAGUAAUCAUUGAUGUUGAUUAUAGCGGCGACCUGCGAGACACUGUAUCGAAUCGUUGCUCACGCUGUUUGUUUACACAUCAUUUUAGACGGAUUAUUUUUCAAUAAUGUUCUAUUAUAAUAAAAGAUACACACUUCUUUACAAUUAAUUAAUUUUCCAAAUGCAGUUUUUUCUACAGGCUUUAAUUGUAAAAAUUAUUAAUAAAAUAUUACAACGAUGUA
Molecule: long non-coding RNA, 596 nt
Organism: Manduca sexta (tobacco hornworm)
Lineage: Eukaryota; Metazoa; Arthropoda; Insecta; Lepidoptera; Sphingidae
Exons: 4
Source: RefSeq, a predicted model, not a curated record